CAUUUUCAAACCAGUUUGAAUAACAAUAUGAAUCACCACCAAUUAGCUGAAUAUUACAGAAAUAUCUCAAAACUCACAUUCUACAAAUUUCCAUCACAACCGUAUUUUAUACAGAUCCAAGCAACCUACAACAUUAUGUAUUCAAGCAUUCAGCUGCUGAAAUACUCUAGAACAGGAAAGAAUAAAUAGAACUAUCUAGUGCUUCACAACAUGAAAACAUGUAGUCUGCUUCUUCAAGUACUGAUUCUUCCUUAGCAAUGACUGGUUCUUCAAGUACUGCUUCUUCCUUAGCAAUGACAGGCUGAUGCAAAACAUCUGGGCAUUCAAAAGAGAACAAAAAGUAUGUCACUGAUAUAAGAAAUAUUACAUGAAUACUUUUAAAAUAAAAACUGAAGGCACAUGAGAUGGAAACAAGUAAUUUGAGAUGGAAAGUUAGUCAACAGAAUUUAUAUAAAAGAUCUUUUUGCAUUACAAUUAUCUUAUGUACAUAUGAAUGACACCCAAGUAAUUUGAGAUGGAAACAAGUACAUCUAGCAAUCUAAGAUGUAUAGUGGCACCAGCAAAGGAGCACGACACGGAAGAAUUUUAGCUUUACAUAAUGUUUACAAGAACAGGUCCCUGAUACAGGAUUUAGCUUGUCCUCAACACUGUUAACAAGGUACUGAAAGUAGCUAUGUGCAUCAGCCUCACCAAGUCUUAUCAUGAAUUGGUUGCUUUUAAAAACUAUACUAUAUUUCUGGACAGCAAACUAAAUAGAUGGAUGCUCUCAAACCGUACAUCCAAACAAAGCAAAUAAGUACUCUACGAAAACCUUAGAACAUGCUUUACAACUCAUAUGUAGAGGCUAACUUGAAAUUAUGAGCAUAACAAACUCGUUUUUCAGUUAGAAGCUCGCUGUCCAAAACUGUCAGGUAGUGUAGUUUUUUAACUGAACCAAAUUCAGUUUACACAGAGGUAAGGAACUACUUCAAAAACUUAGGUAAGUAAGGAACUACUUCAAAAACAGAGGUGCUAACUAUGUUUACACAGAAAAACUGUACUAUAUUUUUGGACAGCAAACUAAAAUAGACGGCUGCUCUCAAACUGUACAUCCAAACGAAGCAAAUAAGUACUCUACGGAAACCUUAGAACAUGCUUUACAACUCAUAUGUAGAGGUUAACUUGAAAUUAUGAGCAUAACUAACUCGUUUUUCAGUUAGAAGCUCGCUGCCCAAAACUGUCAGGUAGUGCAGUUUUUGAACUGAACCAAAUUCAGUUGACACAGAGGUAAGUAAUGAACUACUUCAAAAAUAGAGGUAAGUAAGGAAUUACUUCAAAAACAGAGGUGCUAACUAUGUUUACACAGAAAAACGAGUACGGUAUCUAUUUGCCAAACUUGUAGUAGCUAAGAAUUCAUUCCUCACAGAGAAAAUGAACUGACUGAGACUAUGAUAUGAUUGUCGGCGGCCUAUGUUUACGGUAUCCUAUUAACACAGCAUAAAGAAAAAAGAGCAUGUCCCGUCGUCAUUAGAUUAAAUUUCUACUAGUACACAGUGCUAGAAUCAUAUGACCUAAAUACACACGACCUAAAUAAAUCCCAAUCGAACCAAAUCAUGCAACAGAACCAAUCAUGGCGGGGCUCACAGCAUCAAAACAGAAAACACUAGAAUCCCAGCCACCGGGGCACCAGAGCUGUAGAAUUAACCUGUAUGUGCCCAUGGCCAUCUCUACGGCGCGUUUGCUGACGGCCGUCUCGAAGUGUUCAAUCUCAUCCACAAGAAACGCGUGCCUGAAGCAUACUGCCAGGCAAUGCUUGUGUGGCCUCGAGCUCGGAGGAAACCCUUCUCAGAUACUUCCUUGUUAACUUCACUGACUGGAUUUUGAUCUGCAGAAUCAAGACACUGGACUUUUCAAGCAAUGUUGUUUUUGUUCAGAGAAAAUAGUGGUGACUGCCACUUGCAGAUUAUUAACAGGCACAGGCCCAUGCUCAGUUUACAGGGCCUAUUUAUUCAGCUAAUUUACAGAUCAGUUGUGUACUGUCUACAAAAAUAAACAUUUUGGUACCCCAAAGUUGCAGAUCAUGUAUGAUUGCCUAGUUAGGAGCAGAAUUCCAAUGGAGAUAAUGCACAUGUAGCAGGUACGUGAAGGACAUCUAGUGCAUUCCAUUUGCCUUAAUCUUAAAUCGCGGUUUUGUAAUGCAGAUGCUUUGCAGCUUGGUCAUAGCAAAUAGUGUUGUCCAUUACUGAAACACAGGCUGGAGUUGGGCAUAAAGACCGAAACACAAGCCCAUUUUCCGGUAUUUUUUGGAAUAGGUCAUUCCUGGUUUCUAGUUUAUACGUAUGUAGGUGCCAUCUCCACUGAAGAUGGUUCAAACUACUACUCCAGUACAUACUAAUAAAACUUGACACAGGCUAGUUCAAACUACAUACUAAUAAAACUAG
RNAcentral lists this long non-coding RNA (2420 nucleotides) under Triticum aestivum (bread wheat). RNAcentral's name for it is "long non-coding RNA (TAES_LNC003663)". Lineage: Eukaryota; Viridiplantae; Streptophyta; Magnoliopsida; Poales; Poaceae. The record is from RNAcentral.